Molecule: non-coding RNA, 72 nt
Organism: Culicoides brevitarsis
Lineage: Eukaryota; Metazoa; Arthropoda; Insecta; Diptera; Ceratopogonidae
Source: the annotation of a RefSeq genome assembly
GCUUUCAUGGUCUAGAGGUAUGAUUCUCGCUUCGGGUGCGAGAGGUCUCGGGUUCGAUUCCCGAUGAAAGCC